Molecule: long non-coding RNA, 215 nt
Filed under: Capsella rubella
Lineage: Eukaryota; Viridiplantae; Streptophyta; Magnoliopsida; Brassicales; Brassicaceae
Description: long non-coding RNA (CRUB_LNC005138)
Source: RNAcentral
AAGAUUACAACAUUAUGAAUAUAAAGAUUGAAUUUGGCAAACAGUAGAGUACACAAAUAACCAAACUGUUUAAUUGGCUAGAGAACAAUGGAUUAAUGAGACCCACCACCAUUAGUUUUGAAGUUUGAUCCUCUGAUCUAUUCUAUCAAAACUGUGUCCAUGAAGGCAAUGAUGUAUUGUGAUUAUGAUUAGAACUUAAAAAUAAUCUAUUAUAU